Molecule: long non-coding RNA, 502 nt
Organism: Sinocyclocheilus anshuiensis
Lineage: Eukaryota; Metazoa; Chordata; Actinopteri; Cypriniformes; Cyprinidae
Source: Ensembl
GCAGGUGGUAUUUUCAAUGUAAUUAGGAGGGGACGUUCUCGUUCCAGAAAGCAUUUGAUUGGACGUCACUUCACUAUUUUGCCUGUCAUCUGUUUAGCCGGAAGAAUGGACUAUGGAUAAAUGUUUUCAAUGAGAACACAUGGACUACAGCAAGUAAAAUGUUUGUUUUAUCUUCAAAAGUCCAAGAAACUCAAGUAGGAUGGAAAUUCAAGAGGUAGAUGGAGAGAUAUCAGUCAACCCCUAUGAGACAGCCUUUGAUCCCUAUUCCCUCGCCCCAUCCCAAGAUCCAGAAGGUAGAGGAAAUCUCAGAUGCUGCCUGCCUUUCUCUGUCCAGGUAAUCAGUCCAGGUGCUUAUCCAAAAGUCUUCUCUGGAGACUGAUAUUCUUACACACACCAAGAUUUUACAUUCAGCAUGAAGAUGCAUCUCUCUGGUGGCCGUCCUGAUGAACCUGGUGUGUGUGAGAAGCUUUGGUUGAGCGUAAUGUCCAGAGCUUAAAAAUAC